GGGCGCAGCCUGAUCCAGCCUCGCCGCGUGAGUGAUGAAGGCCUUCGGGUUGUAAACCUCUUUUGGUCGGGAAGAUAAUGACGGUACCCGUAGAAUAAGCC
This 101-nucleotide ribosomal RNA is filed under the name uncultured bacterium. RNAcentral describes it as "partial 16S ribosomal RNA". It matches the Rfam family "Bacterial small subunit ribosomal RNA", at positions 373 to 492 of the family's 1533-position model. The record is from RNAcentral.